Molecule: ribosomal RNA, 774 nt
Filed under: uncultured Neocallimastigales
Lineage: Eukaryota; Fungi; Neocallimastigomycota; Neocallimastigomycetes; Neocallimastigales
Description: partial large subunit ribosomal RNA
Rfam family: Eukaryotic large subunit ribosomal RNA
Source: RNAcentral
GAGAGAGACAUGCGCGCAUAUCAAUAAGCGGAGGAAAAGAAACUAACAAGGAUUCCCUUAGUAACGGCGAGUGAAGCGGGAAGAGCUCAAAUUUGAAAUCUUCAAGGUUUUACCUUGACGAAUUGUAGUUUAAAGAAGUGUUUUCUGCUGAAGUUUUGGUAAAAGUUCUUUGGAAUAGGACAUCAUAGAGGGUGAGAAUCCCGUAUUUGACCAUUAUUUUCAGCUUUGUGAUACACUUUCAAAGAGUCGGAUUGUUUGGGAAUGCAGUCCAAAAUGGGUGGUAAAUUUCAUCUAAAGCUAAAUAUUGGCGAGAGACCGAUAGCGAACAAGUACCGUGAGGGAAAGAUGAAAAGAACUUUGAAAGGAGAGUUAAACAGUACGUGAAAUUGUCAAAAGGGAAGCGUUUGACACCAGUGUUGUUUUCUCGAAAAUCAAUUAAAAAUGGCUCGAUUUUGUAUUGCUUGAGACCUUAAAAGCUCACUGUACAUUUUUCGUGUCUUUUUUAAUGCACUUUUCGUUUAACAAGUCAACAUCAGUUUCUUUUGUUGUAAAAGGGUCAUUGGAAGGUGGCUUUCUUUUCGGAGAAAGUGUUUAUAGCCUUUGGCCUCUGCAAUCGGAGAGACUGAGGUCUGCAGCGUAGACUCUUCGGGGUUAGAUACAUUUGUGCUAAGUUAUAGCUUUUUAUAGACAACUCGUUGACUAUAAUUAGUCUUGUAGCUUACUCGCUUAUGCUAUUUUACCUACGCUUAGGAUGUUGAAGAUGUAGCACAUCAU